GGCGGCGUAGCUCAGCCCGGUUAGAGCGAGCGGCUCAUACCCGCUAUGUCACUGGUUCAAAUCCAGUCGCCGCUACUA
RNAcentral lists this transfer RNA (78 nucleotides) under Candidatus Omnitrophota bacterium. RNAcentral's name for it is "Candidatus Omnitrophica bacterium tRNA-Met". It matches the Rfam family "tRNA". From Rfam's summary of the family: Transfer RNA (tRNA) molecules are approximately 80 nucleotides in length. Lineage: Bacteria; Pseudomonadati; Candidatus Omnitrophota. The record is from RNAcentral.